RNAcentral lists this ribosomal RNA (413 nucleotides) under uncultured bacterium. RNAcentral describes it as "bacterial SSU rRNA". It matches the Rfam family "Bacterial small subunit ribosomal RNA", at positions 30 to 429 of the family's 1533-position model. The record is from RNAcentral.
AGUGAACGCUGGCGGCAGGCCUAACACAUGCAAGUCGAGCGGCAGCGCGUCCGACCACCCUCGGGUGGUCGGAUGGCGGCGAGCGGCGGACGGGUGAGGAAUGCAUCGGAAUCUGCCUCGUUGUGGGGGAUAACGUAGGGAAACUUACGCUAAUACCGCAUACGACCUACGGGUGAAAGUGGGGGACCUUCGGGCCUCACGCGAUGAGAUGAGCCGAUGCCGGAUUAGCUAGUUGGCGGGGUAAAGGCCCACCAAGGCGACGAUCCGUAGCUGGUCUGAGAGGGAUGAUCAGCCACACUGGAACUGAGACACGGUCCAGACUCCUACGGGAGGCAGCAGUGGGGGAAUAUUGGACAAUGGGGGGCAACCCUGAUCCAGCCAUGCCGCGUGUGUGAAGAAGGCCUCGGUGUAAG